This is a non-coding RNA of Camelina sativa (false flax), 2041 nucleotides long. NCBI's taxonomy places the organism in Eukaryota, Viridiplantae, Streptophyta, Magnoliopsida, Brassicales, Brassicaceae. The record is from RefSeq and is a predicted model, not a curated record.
UAUAACACUACAAGAAAAGUUCACAUUGAUAGCAGUAGAUUAUAGCGCAUUUUCUCUAACUGCUAUGAAAAAUAAACUUUUUUUUAAUUACUAUACAAUAGCACUAGAAAGACGCUAAGAUAAAAAUUCAUUAAGUGAGAACCUAAAAUCGUUUGUUCCGCCACUACUUUGAUGAAAAUUUUCGUUUAAGCGCAUUUCAGAUCCAAUUUUUUUUUGUGUCAAUAGAACCAAAAAAGAUUGUUUUUGUUUUUUAUAUCAAAGUGCCACGUUUACAGCAAAAAUAAAACCUUAUCUCUUCUCUGUACGACGAGACGAACAAAACAUCAAAAAAAAUUUCUUCCCCCAAAUUGAAAUCUAGGUCUUUUUGAGUCCACCAUAGACUCCACCGUGAAGCUCGUCGGCGGCCUCAUUUCGCAUCCAUUCCGAUUUCAUAUCUCGGCGAAAAAGUGAUUAACACGAAUCGUUAUGUCUCCCUCUACCUCAAUUUUUAUUUGCUUCCUUCUCUUAUUAUCUUUCUCUAUCUAGAUCCGAGUUUGCGAUAUUUCAAGCUACCUAACAACAAAUUCCUCCAUUUUUUCAAAUUUCUUUCAACUAUUUAAGCUCCAGGUUCUUAUUUAUAUGAUUUUUCUUGUUUCUUCUUCUCUGUGAUUUGUUCCUUUUUGUGUUUAGAUGAACGAUUAGAUCUCGAGUCUGAUUUAGUCUCUUUGCGAUGGAUAUGGUUCGGAUUCGGUUUCAAAGUUUUAGUAUUUUGAUUGCUUGUAAAUCAAUAGGUGGGUUAAGCUUUUGAUUGUUCAACAUUUCUCUUUAUUAUAUGUUUUUCUGGAGAGGUCGAUAUAUUGAAUUGUAUCUAUGAUAUUGGAUGACCUAUAUGAUAUGCUUAUUUCUCUCAUGACAUCGAAUUAAAUUCAUAAGCUUGUUAUUUUUUUCUUGUUUUAGUGCACAACGCUUGCAUGAUUUGGGUGAUAAGUCGAUUCAGCAAUAGUUUUGUGUACAGAGGUCAAUGGAGAUGGAAAGUAUGAGCGGAUAAGUGGAACAAGCCUUUGGUGGAGGCACAGUUUUAGGUCCUCAAAAGCUUUUAAGAAAACUUUUGAUGAAUUGCUUUGAGUUAAGUCAACAUGGAAAUAAGACAGAGUUUUUGACAUGCUUGUGGUGGGGAUAUCUACGGUGGAAAAAAUUCUUUAAAGAUUGGUCUCUCCUCUACAAGUAUCACUUCGAGCUUUGGGAAAGCAAUUUUCUGAAUCAUUUGUUUGGAUUGCUAAGUGUAAUGAGUUGUUUCAUUCGUUAGGAUCAAGAUGGAGCACAGUUCAGAGGAUACCUCAAGGAGAAGGUCUUACCUCCUGUUGAGCAAAUACUACCUUAUCCAUUCUCACAAUUGGUUUGAUGCAGUUUUUGAUAACAACAAUCAGGGAGAUAAAAAUUCUAAAGCUGCAUCAUGAGAAUGUUAUUCAGCUGAAAGACAUUUGGUUCCUUUUUAGCUUGUUUCAAAACUUUGAUGUUUUUACAUGUUUUUUUUCUCCGUUAUGGAUCUAUCUGCAUUUUCUUACUGUGUAUUGACAACAAUCAGAUAUAUCUAGACUUGAAGCCAAAGCACAACUCCAGCAUAAGGAUAGGGAAAUUGCAGCUCAAAUUUUAGGUAAGAUGUUUUUUGCUUAGGCUUUUGAUUGACAUUAGAUUGUUUUCUCUUCCUACGAGAAGCCAAACGAAGCCUUAUGGUCUUAGCAAAGCAACGAUGCGCACAGCUGGAAGAAGAAAAUAAGGUUUGAGGGAGAACCGUAGUGGUGGGAACAGCCAAAUGGAUGAUGAUGAUUUGAUACAUAUGGAGAGGAUAACUAACAUGUCUUUUUCAUAUAUUCAAAGUGAACUAGUAGCUGUUCAUUGGACUGUUUCAAGAAACGCUGAGUGAGCAGCUAAAAGAGAGUCUUUGCUACAAGUAAGAAAGGCUUGGAUGGGUUACAUGUACAUGUCAAAUAGUGUUUUUUUUAUUUUUAAUGUUAGUUUUAUUUUGUUUAAGACUUGGUGACACUUUGUUAUGUAAGACUUA